AGGACGAACGCUGGCGGCGUGCUUAACACAUGCAAGUCGAACGGAAAGGCCCGCUUGCGGGUACUCGAGUGGCGAACGGGUGAGUAACACGUGGGCAACCUGCCCUCAGCUCUGGGAUAACUCCGGGAAACCGGUGCUAAUACUGGAUAUCGACUUCUGCCUCGCAUGGGGUGUUGUUGAAAGUUUUCGGCUGGGGAUGGGCCCGCGGCCUAUCAGCUUGUUGGUGGGGUGAUGGCCUACCAAGGCGACGACGGGUAGCCGGCCUGAGAGGGCGACCGGCCACACUGGGACUGAGACACGGCCCAGACUCCUACGGGAGGCAGCAGUGGGGAAUAUUGCGCAAUGGGGCGGAAGCCUGACGCAGCGACGCCGCGUGAGGGAUGACAGCCUUCGGGUUGUAAACCUCUUUCAGCUCUGACGAAGCGAGAGUGACGGUAGGAGCAGAAGAAGCACCGGCCAACUACGCGCCAGCAGCCGCGGU
Molecule: ribosomal RNA, 481 nt
Filed under: uncultured bacterium
Lineage: Bacteria
Description: SSU rRNA
Rfam family: Bacterial small subunit ribosomal RNA
Source: RNAcentral